RNAcentral lists this transfer RNA (73 nucleotides) under Acidobacteriota bacterium. RNAcentral's name for it is "tRNA-Arg". It matches the Rfam family "tRNA". From Rfam's summary of the family: Transfer RNA (tRNA) molecules are approximately 80 nucleotides in length. Their secondary structure includes four short double-helical elements and three loops (D, anti-codon, and T loops). The record is from RNAcentral. Lineage: Bacteria; Pseudomonadati; Acidobacteriota. RNAcentral also lists the same sequence under 2 other names.
GCUCCCGUAGCUCAGUGGAUAGAGCACUCGCCUCCUAAGCGAGGGGUCGCAAGUUCAAGUCUUGCCGGGAGCA